This 253-nucleotide ribosomal RNA is filed under the name uncultured bacterium. RNAcentral describes it as "partial 16S ribosomal RNA". It matches the Rfam family "Bacterial small subunit ribosomal RNA", at positions 524 to 776 of the family's 1533-position model. The record is from RNAcentral.
UACGGGGGGGGCAAGCGUUGUUCGGAAUUACUGGGCGUAAAGGGCUCGUAGGUGGCCAACUAAGUCAGACGUGAAAUCCCUCGGCUUAACCGGGGAACUGCGUCUGAUACUGGAUGGCUUGAGUUCGGGAGAGGGAUGCGGAAUUCCAGGUGUAGCAGUGAAAUGCGUAGAUAUGUGGAGGAACACCAAUGGCGAAGGCAGCCCCCUGGGUCAACACUGACGCUCAUGCACGAAAGCGUGGGGAGCAAACAGG